This 73-nucleotide transfer RNA is filed under the name Chloropicon sieburthii. RNAcentral describes it as "tRNA-His". It matches the Rfam family "tRNA". Rfam says of the family: Transfer RNA (tRNA) molecules are approximately 80 nucleotides in length. Their secondary structure includes four short double-helical elements and three loops (D, anti-codon, and T loops). The record is from RNAcentral. Lineage: Eukaryota; Viridiplantae; Chlorophyta; Chloropicophyceae; Chloropicales; Chloropicaceae. RNAcentral also lists the same sequence under 1 other name.
GCGAGUAUAGCUUAAAUGGUUAAAGUAUCAGGUUGUGGUUCUGGUGAUACGAGUUCAAUUCUCGUUAUUCGCC